GCUAAAAAAACACAGAAAACUAAAACUUACCGGCGGUAGGGCUCUCCGGUGCGGCGGCUCCUCUGGCUCGCAUUGCGAUUUGGUGUUUUGCUCCAGUCAACCUGUAGAUGAGGGAACGAUGGUCACAAUGGUGGAAAAAUUACAUCGAAUGGGAAUCGAGAAGGGCCUCAUCGGAGGCAAAAAUUUAGACAACUCACGGCGGCGUCACUGGGCUUCGGCAGCAUUUUCCAGCCAAUUGGCCUGUGUUUUUGCUCUAAUUUUGCCAUAGGUGGGUUUAGAAAUCGAAUUCUGAGCAAAGGGUAGAAAUUUUACCUCGUUUGGUGGCCAGAAAUUGCUCCAGUACGGCGACGGGUGGCGGCGGUCGGCUCCCCGAUGGCUGGGCUAUUCUUCUC
RNAcentral lists this long non-coding RNA (392 nucleotides) under Carica papaya (papaya). RNAcentral's name for it is "long non-coding RNA (CPAP_LNC016475)". The record is from RNAcentral. Lineage: Eukaryota; Viridiplantae; Streptophyta; Magnoliopsida; Brassicales; Caricaceae.